UGCAGUCGUACGCUAGCCGCUGAAUUGAUCCUUCGGGUGAAGUGAGGCAAUGACUAGAGUGGCGAACUGGUGAGUAACACGUAAGAAACCUGCCCUUUAGUGGGGGAUAACAUUUGGAAACAGAUGCUAAUACCGCGUAACAACAAAUCACACAUGUGAUCUGUUUGAAAGGUCCUUUUGGAUCGCUAGAGGAUGGUCUUGCGGCGUAUUAGCUUGUUGGUAGGGUAGAAGCCUACCAAGGCAAUGAUGCGUAGCCGAGUUGAGAGACUGGCCGGCCACAUUGGGACUGAGACACUGCCCAAACUCCUACGGGAGGCUGCAGUAGGGAAUUUUCCGCAAUGCACGAAAGUGUGACGGAGCGACGCCGCGUGUGUGAUGAAGGCUUUCGGGUCGUAAAGCACUGUUGUAAGGGAAGAAUAACUGAAUUCAGAGAAAGUUUUCAGCUUGACGGUACCUUACCAGAAAGGGAUGGCUAAAUACGUGCCAGCAGCCGCGGUAAUACGUAUGUCCCGAGCGUUAUCCGGAUUUAUUGGGCGUAAAGCGAGCGCAGACGGUUUAUUAAGUCUGAUGUGAAAUCCCGAGGCCCAACCUCGGAACUGCAUUGGAAACUGAUUUACUUGAGUGCGAUAGAGGCAAGUGGAACUCCAUGU
RNAcentral lists this ribosomal RNA (650 nucleotides) under Oenococcus oeni. Its description in RNAcentral is "bacterial SSU rRNA". It matches the Rfam family "Bacterial small subunit ribosomal RNA", at positions 56 to 674 of the family's 1533-position model. Lineage: Bacteria; Bacillati; Bacillota; Bacilli; Lactobacillales; Lactobacillaceae. The record is from RNAcentral.